RNAcentral lists this ribosomal RNA (513 nucleotides) under uncultured bacterium. Its description in RNAcentral is "partial 16S ribosomal RNA". It matches the Rfam family "Bacterial small subunit ribosomal RNA", at positions 28 to 523 of the family's 1533-position model. The record is from RNAcentral.
GACGAACGCUGGCGGCAUGCCUAAUACAUGCAAGUCGAGCGAACAGAUGAAGUGCUUGCACUUCUGACGUUAGCGGCGAACGGGUGAGUAACACGUAAGGAAUCUACCUAUAAGCGGGGGAUAACAUUCGGAAACGGGUGCUAAUACCGCAUAAUAUCUUCUUCCGCAUGGAAGAAGAUUGAAAGACGGCUCUGCUGUCACUUAUAGAUGACCUUGCGGUGCAUUAGUUAGUUGGUGGGGUAAUGGCCUACCAAGACAAUGAUGCAUAGCCGGCCCGAGAGGGGGAUCGGCCACAUUGGGACUGAGACACGGCCCAAACUCCGACGGGAGGCAGCAGUAGGGAAUCUUCCGCAAGGGGCGAAAGCCUGACGGAGCAAUGCCGCGUGAGUGAAGAAGGCCUUCGGGUCGUAAAACUCUAUUAUAAGAGAAGAACAAAUUGUAGAGUGACUGCUACAGUCUUGACGGUAUCUUAUCAGAAAGCCACGGCUAACUACGUGCCAGCCGCCGCAGUAA